This 1865-nucleotide long non-coding RNA is filed under the name Macaca fascicularis (crab-eating macaque). Its description in RNAcentral is "lncRNA (ENSMFAG00000061093.1)". Lineage: Eukaryota; Metazoa; Chordata; Mammalia; Primates; Cercopithecidae. The record is from RNAcentral.
UUUUUUUCUUUUUUUUUUUUUGAGACAGGGUCCCUCAGUUGCCCAGGCUGGAGUGCAGGGGCAUGAUCUCAGCUCACAGCAAUCUCCACCUUCAGGGCUCCAGCGGUUCUCCCACCUCAGCCCCCCAAGUAGCUGGGACUACAGGUGCACACCACCACACCCAGCUAAUUUUUGCAUUGUUUGUAGAGAUGGAAUUCGCCAUGUUGCCCAGGCUGGUCUUGAACUCCUGAACUCAAGCGAUCCUCCUGCCUCGGCCUCCCAAAGUGCUGGGAUUACAGGUAAGAGCCAUCGCGCCUGGCCAACAGUGGGUAUAAUUAAUGGGACUUUUUUCAUCGGCCUCAUCAGGAGGAUAGGACACAGCCUCACUGGUGCUAAGUGCUAGGUGCUGACAUGUGGGCCACUGAUGCAAUGGGCAGGAGGGUUAGUGGGGAAGGCAUUUCAGGCACAGUGAACAGCACAGACAUGAAGGCGAAAAAUGAAAGAAAACGAAAUGCCACAGCCCUGAGCCAUCCAGGGUGCUGGGAGCAGUGCAGAGCCACUGCCAACCUCUGUGUGUUGCAGGCAAGAGCAGGCGUGGUGAAGCUGCGGGGUGGACGCCAGAGUGAUCAGAAGUCUAGCCAAAGGGGCGUGGACCCAACAGGGACAACCCUGGUAGGGAGAAGUCCCCAGGACUGGGCCACAAGGGCCUGAUCUCAACUCCUAGGUGUUGAGAGAGCCCGAGGCUGUGUGGGGCUUUGAUGCUCCUUCUGUGGGGUGAGGGUGGGUGAGAAAUUUUGAGGAGUUGCAGGAGAGGAAUCUAGAGGGGUGUGUGUAAGAGAGAGAGAGAGAAAGAAAGGGAGAGAACUAGAAGGUCGGAGGCCAGUACCAAGGGGCAGCCAGAAUUCAUGCCCGUUCUGGGGAGGGAGCAAGCAGUGCAGGUCUAUUUCCCAGGCCGGGCUGCAUUGCCCUCCAGUACUAGGAGGUACAGGGGCCUCUGUGGGAGAGCAGGAGGCUGCCCAGCACAUGCCCUGUUUUUGCUCAGUCUAAUUCUCCUCCCUGGCCUGCCUUAACCCUGCACCCAGACUGUUUCAUCAGGUCAUAGAGCAGCUGGGUGUGAGUGUGUGGGUGUUUGUGUGUGUGUGCACAUGCAUGCGGGUACAUGUGGCGUUUCUGGAUCAGAGAAUGCACAGAGGACCUGCUAAAGGUCAGGUCAGUAAGGAGUGAGGGCAUGGCCAGCCCCUCAGGCCCUGGCAUCCUGAUAGCUCCUUCCCACCCAAGGGGCAGUGGCAGCUGAUAGGCCUCUGAGUCAGGAUGGGUGAGGAGGAGGAGCUGGAAGGGCCAGCCAAGGAGGAGCAGGUCAUCACCUGCUGAGUGGCGGGUCAUGCAUUAAGCCCGGCGGUGGGGAGCAGGGCUGCAGGGGGCCCGGGGUUGGAGGGGAGGGCGAUUUCUGCUAUUGAGACAAUAGGCACCCCAGGUCUGUGUUACUGGGGCUGGGGGCCAGGAGGCAGGAUAGGACAUGCUCUUGCCUCCCCACCUCCGCUCUGCUCAGCAGCUGGUGGAGGCCUGGGAGGUGAAUCCCAGGUUGAUGGCCAGUGUGGGCCCAAGAAAGUCUUUGGGGAUUUGAUGCAAUCCCGAGUCCCUGAUGGCUCAUGGAGAGGCUGUGCCUGCACCUCUUGUCGGGGAGCCAUCUGGGGCUCGCCCCGCACCCAGCACAUGCCUAGGAGCGUAGUGAACUCCGUCACUAGGAGCGUAGUGAACACCGGAAGGCCGAUGAAAAGAUGCACUUGAGGCCUGAGCUCUCUGUGUCCAGAAGCAGCCCUCUCAGGUUGUGGGGGGACACUCUGGGUCUUGCACCUGCUAAGGCCCCUGCCACAGAGAAUGGGAAC